RNAcentral lists this non-coding RNA (85 nucleotides) under Lentibacillus persicus. RNAcentral's name for it is "GEMM cis-regulatory element". It matches the Rfam family "c-di-GMP-I riboswitch aptamer". Rfam says of the family: GEMM was predicted in a large-scale screen for bacterial structured RNA regulatory elements. Lineage: Bacteria; Bacillati; Bacillota; Bacilli; Caryophanales; Bacillaceae. The record is from RNAcentral.
CUUAGAAAAAAGCAUACCUGUUGAAAAGCAGGGACGCAAAGCCACGGGUCUAAAACACUAGUGUUAUGAUGGCCGGACUGCCUGG